This is a non-coding RNA of Cercophora sp. LCS_1, 73 nucleotides long. The record is from the annotation of a GenBank genome assembly. NCBI's taxonomy places the organism in Eukaryota, Fungi, Ascomycota, Sordariomycetes, Sordariales, Lasiosphaeriaceae.
GAGGAUAUAGCUCAAUCGGUAGAGCAUACUGCUCAUAACAGUACCGUUAAGUGUUCAAGUCACUUUAUCCUUA